Long non-coding RNA from Piliocolobus tephrosceles (Ugandan red Colobus), 2102 nucleotides. The record is from Ensembl. Lineage: Eukaryota; Metazoa; Chordata; Mammalia; Primates; Cercopithecidae.
AUGAACAAUAUAAUAAAAUCAAAAAAGCUGUAUGAAUUAUAUUCGAAACGCUAUAUUUGUAAUUACUCUAAAAACAGAAAUUUAAAAAAUAAAUAUAAAUAUCUAAAUGGUCAUAACAAUAAUUUAACAUUUAGUUCUACUAACACAACGAUAAACAAUAACGGCAAUAAACUAACAAAUUUUAGUACCAAUAAAUUUCGGAGUGAAAUAAAAUGGCCAUUUCAAUUUUAUGUACAAAACCAUAUAGUUUUAAAAAAAAUUAUGAACAGUAAUGUGAAAAAACUAAGUGCAAGGCAAUUUUCAAGAUAUUCCCACAAAGAAUCAUCAUCGUCAAGGAAUAUUAAAAAUGAAGAUAAAAAAAAUAUAAAAAAGAAAUUGGAAUUGUUUGUACGUUUACCAUAUAUGGAAAUAAAAAAUAAAUUUAACAACAUAAGUCUUUUAUGGUUGAAAGAUAAUUAUUAUAAAAAUAAAAAAUGGCUAAUCACUUUUUUGAAUAAUGUUUAUUAUGAAAUAUGCAUAAAAAAAUAUAGACAAUUAAAAAAAACAGUACCAAAUAAUUUUUUUUUUAAUUAUAACAAAAAUAAUAAUGUAAAAAUAUUUUAUCCGUUUUUUUCAGUAUUAUUUAUAAAAAACUUUUUUAAAAAUGAUAAAUUAAUAACUCGUUUUUUAAAUUAUUUAUCAAUAAAUAAAAAAUUGUUCUUAAAUAAUUUUUCUAGUUUUUAUCAACAAAAUAUAAGAAGCGGCUAUUAUAAAAAAUUAUUUUUAUUUCAUUAUAAAAAAACUCCAGCUACAUAUACUCUUAUUUUAUUACACUUAUUUAUUUAUUUAUUAUGGUUCAAAGCGAAACCUGUACAGUAUAACUACAAUGAAUAUUUUUUAACAAAUAACAUGUUCAUAGAUAGAAACAGACAAAAAAACAACAAUUUUCUAUUAACAACUGAUUUUAUGUAUAAUCAUUUUUGUUGUAGUUUACGAAGUUUAAAAGAAAAAAGGUUUUAUACAAUUUUAACAAAUAUAAUUAGCCAUAAUACUAUACAAUCUUUUUUAUUAAAUACUAUUGCUUUAUACUAUAUAGGGAAAGGUUUAGAAUGUGCCAGUGGAAGUAUAAGUUCUAUUCUAGCUACAUACACAUUUAUCUUUCCGAAACAAAAUAUUUACCUAUAUGGAAUCAUUGGUUUGCCUAUGGCUUUAUUUUCUUCUUUAUACUUUUUGAACGAAUUUUACUGUGUUAUAACGAAUAAAAACGACAAUACAGGACAUGUCGCACAUUUAUGUGGUAUGUGUUUAGGAAUCUUGUACUAUUUAUUUUAUGUUAAAGGAAGAAUUGUUACAUAAAAACAUGCAUACAAGUACGCUUAAAAAGCGCGUUUUUUUUUUUCUAAUUUGUUGUUAUUUUAAAUUGUUGUUUUUUUUUUACUGUUUUUUUUUAGCUUUUUUUUACUGUUUUUUUAAUUUUUUUUUUUUAGCUUAAUGCUUUGUUAACUUAUUGUUUUUUUAAUUAACUGUUUUUUCAUUUUAUUGUUUUUUCAUUUUAUUGUUUUUUCAUUUUAUUGUUUUUUCAUUUUAUUGUUUUUUCAUUUUAUUGUUUUUUCNNNNNNNNNNUUUUAUUGUUUUUUCAUUUUAUUGUUUUUUCAUUUUAUUGUUUUUUCGUUUUUCAUUUUUAUUUUCAUUUUCAUUUUUAUUUUCAUUUUUAUUUUUAUUUUCAUUUUUAUUUUCAUUUUUAUUUUCAUUUUUAUUUUUAUUAAAUUUUAUUUGUUUUUUAUAAAAUUUUUAAUUCCUCAUAAAUUCAUAAGUGCGCUAAUUUUUUUUUUUUUUCUUUCUUCUUUUUUCUUCCUUUUUAAAUUUUACAUUAUACAUGUAUGCGCAUAAUAUAUUUAUUAUUAAACAAAAUUAAUAUUAUUAAAAAAUUUGGUAAUAUAUAUAUAUAUAACAAUACACGAAUGGAAUGUUUAAAAUACCUUAAAAAAAAUUUAUAUAUUUAUUUUUUUUUUACUUUUUACGGUUUAUAUAAAAAAGAAAAAAAGAAAGUAAAAAAAAAAAACUUAAAGCAAUAGAAAAAAAAAAAAAAAAAGGUAAUAAAAUAACAUACAUAACAAAUAUCA